UUAACCAUUGUUCCUUCCUUUCCAUGUGGAUGUCUACAAACCUCCAGGCAGAUGCCCCGGUAAGAAACCCACUGGCAGAGAAGAAAGCGAAAGCCCCUUCCAUGUGUCGUCUUCUGGAACACUGCAGAACAAGCAUUUGGCAUAAAUCACUCCAAAUUCAUCAAUUCUGGCGUACCAUCAAAGAAGAAGAAAGAUUUCUAAUGGGAUGUUUUACCUCUAGAUGCAUGACUGAAUCAUGUGGUUGCCCACUGACAUCUGACGUCAUAUUGAUUCAAGUCUGCUUGGCUCACAUCAGAGGAUUCUCAAAGGCUUUGCUGAUAGUCCCUUCCAAACGUGUUAUUGUAUCUCAAGCUGUAGAUGAAUUACCUUGAAAAGGUGAGUGCAUGCUUCUCUGAACUGAACUCAUUGCUCCCUAGGGCCUUCUGUUUCUAGAAACAUAGAUACAUUUUUAAUCUCUCUCACUUGCAUACAAAGAUGGCAGGGGAUUGCUCCUUGCCAAUGGACUGGGUGUUUUAACCCAAUGGAAAGAUUGCAAAUUCCUAGGAAUAGCCAAACUGCUGCUUUUCCCUCCUGAGCCCAAGGAUCUUUGGUUCACAUCUGUGGCCGUUACUUGCAGAAUUGGACACUGUCUGCUGCUUUGAACUUGCUGCCAGUUGGCCCGAGGCUCAGAGCUCUGAGCAUCCCCAGAGGCAGUGGUAUGUGUGGGGAGGGACUGGGCCCUUUGGUUUUUCCCAGGCAUCUGCUGGAGGAGAUUCAAGG
Molecule: non-coding RNA, 759 nt
Organism: Delphinapterus leucas (beluga whale)
Lineage: Eukaryota; Metazoa; Chordata; Mammalia; Artiodactyla; Monodontidae
Source: RefSeq, a predicted model, not a curated record